This 465-nucleotide ribosomal RNA is filed under the name uncultured bacterium. RNAcentral's name for it is "partial 16S ribosomal RNA". It matches the Rfam family "Bacterial small subunit ribosomal RNA", at positions 28 to 507 of the family's 1533-position model. The record is from RNAcentral.
GACGAACGCUGGCGGCGUGCUUAACACAUGCAAGUCGAACGGAAAGGCCCCUUCGGGGGUACUCGAGUGGCGAACGGGUGAGUAACACGUGAGUAACCUGCCCUUGACUUCGGGAUAACUUCAGGAAACUGGGGCUAAUACCGGAUAGGAAUCCUUGCUGCAUGGUGGGGGUUGGAAAGCUUCGGCGGUUUUGGAUGGACCCGCGGCUUAUCAGCUUGUUGGUGGGGUAGUGGCUUACCAAGGCUUUGACGGGUAGCCGGCCUGCGAGGGCGACCGGCCACAUUGGGACUGAGAUACGGCCCAGACUCCUACGGGAGGCAGCAGUGGGGAAUAUUGCACAAUGGGCGGAAGCCUGAUGCAGCAACGCCGCGUGCGGGAUGACGGCCUUCGGGUUGUAAACCGCUUUCAGCAGGGGCGAAGCUUGUGGUGACGGUACCUGCAGAAGAAGCACCGGCUAACUACGUG